This 468-nucleotide ribosomal RNA is filed under the name uncultured bacterium. RNAcentral describes it as "partial 16S ribosomal RNA". It matches the Rfam family "Bacterial small subunit ribosomal RNA", at positions 28 to 507 of the family's 1533-position model. The record is from RNAcentral.
GAUGAACGCUGGCGGCGUGCUUAACACAUGCAAGUCGAACGGUGAAGGCGGAGCUUGCUCUGCUGGAUCAGUGGCGAACGGGUGAGUAACACGUGAGCAAUCUGCCCCUGACUCUGGGAUAAGCGCUGGAAACGGCGUCUAAUACUGGAUACGAGCUGCGAAGGCAUCUUCAGCAGCUGGAAAGAAUUUCGGUCAGGGAUGAGCUCGCGGCCUAUCAGCUUGUUGGUGAGGUAAUGGCUCACCAAGGCGUCGACGGGUAGCCGGCCUGAGAGGGUGACCGGCCACACUGGGACUGAGACACGGCACAGACUCCUACGGGAGGCAGCAGUGGGGAAUAGUGCACAAUGGGCGAAAGCCUGAUGCAGCAACGCCGCGUGAGGGACGACGGCCUUCGGGUUGUAAACCUCUUGUAGCAGGGAAGAAGCGAAAGUGACGGUACCUGCAGAAAAAGCGCAGGCUAACUACGUG